ACCCCAUUAAUUAAGCCGACGGGAUGAGUAUUAAUCAAACUCUUCAAGUGGUAUAAGAUGGGAACAGCAGACUUGUUCUGAUGUGUGUAUGUUGUGAAACUAUAUCUUCGUUUACCAGCAAAGAAUUUUUCAGUGUACA
This 139-nucleotide small nucleolar RNA is filed under the name Glossina brevipalpis. RNAcentral's name for it is "small nucleolar RNA snoR639/H1". It matches the Rfam family "Small nucleolar RNA snoR639/H1". From Rfam's summary of the family: snoR639 or snoH1 belongs to the H/ACA class of snoRNAs which are thought to guide the sites of modification of uridines to pseudouridines. snoH1 is found in an intron of the mfl gene in Drosophila. Lineage: Eukaryota; Metazoa; Arthropoda; Insecta; Diptera; Glossinidae. The record is from RNAcentral.